UCAACCCAAUCAACCUCUUUACUCUCUUCGAAAUCAUUGGGUUGUUUGCACACAUUAAAAAUAUUCAUUUCUAAGGUCAUGUUACCAAAAGAAAGCUUCAUGACGCCAUUCCUACAAUUAAUUAAUGCAUUAGAAGUCGCAAGGAAUGGACGUCCUAAAAUGACCGGAAUCUGAGAUUGUGAGUUCGAAGCCGGAUGUGUGUCCAAUACAAUAAAAUCGAUAGGAAAGUAGAACUUGUCUACUUGGACUAAUACAUCCUCGAUAAUCCCCCUUGGAAUUUUAACUGAUCUGUCAGCUAAUUGCAAAGUGACGGAGGUUGGCUUCAACUCACCUAAACCAAGUUGCUCAUAGACAGAAUAUGGCA
This 364-nucleotide long non-coding RNA is filed under the name Phoenix dactylifera (date palm). RNAcentral describes it as "long non-coding RNA (PDAC_LNC017298)". Lineage: Eukaryota; Viridiplantae; Streptophyta; Magnoliopsida; Arecales; Arecaceae. The record is from RNAcentral.